GAGUUUGAUCUUGGCUCAGAAUCAACGCUGGCGGCGUGCCUAACACAUGCAAGUCGCACGAGAAAGUGGAGCAAUCCAUGAGUAAAGUGGCGCACGGGUGAGUAACACGUGAAUGAUCUACCUCCGAGUGGGGAAUAACUGAGAGAAAUCUUAGCUAAUACCGCAUAAUACCCACGGGUCAAAGCAGCAAUGCGCUUGGAGAGGAGUUCGCGGCCGAUUAGUUAGUUGGCGGGGUAAUGGCCCACCAAGACGAUGAUCGGUAUCCGGCCUGAGAGGGCGCACGGACACACUGGAACUGAAACACGGUCAGACUCCUACGGAGGCAGCAGUGGGAAUUUUGCGCAAUGGGGGAAACCCUGACGCAGCAACGCCGCGUGGAGGAUGAAGCCCCUUGGGGUGUAAACGUCCUUUCGAUCGGGAAGAUAAUGACGUACCGAUAUAAGAAGCCCGCUAACUUCGUGCCAGCAGCCGCCGUAAC
This 478-nucleotide ribosomal RNA is filed under the name uncultured bacterium. Its description in RNAcentral is "bacterial SSU rRNA". It matches the Rfam family "Bacterial small subunit ribosomal RNA", at positions 9 to 524 of the family's 1533-position model. The record is from RNAcentral.